CCCUUAGAUGUCCGGGGCUGCACGCGCGCUACACUGAAUGAAUCAGCGUGCUAGAAAACCUUGUUUGACAUGGCUAGGUAACCCAUUGAAAAUCAUUCGUGAUUGGGAUCGGGACUUGCAAACGUGUCCCUUGAACGAGGAAUUCCCAGUAAGUGCGGGUCAUCAGCUCGCGUUGAUUACGUCCCUGCCCUUUGUACACACCGCCCGUCGCUGCCCGGAACUGAGCCGUUUCGAGAAGACUGUGGAUUGCUGACUUGAGGCCUUCACGGGCUUCUAGUCGGUGAAAAUCAAUUUAAUCGCAGCGGCUUGAACCGGGCAAAAGUCGUAACA
RNAcentral lists this ribosomal RNA (330 nucleotides) under uncultured eukaryote. RNAcentral's name for it is "partial 18S ribosomal RNA". It matches the Rfam family "Eukaryotic small subunit ribosomal RNA", at positions 1470 to 1796 of the family's 1831-position model. The record is from RNAcentral.